GGGCAGGGGGAGACUGGGCGGGCUGGACCCUUAGAAGUUCCGCCCGGAAGCUCUUGCUCAUUAACUACAGAUGCGAAGCUCAGACCCUCGGUUUGGAGAUUUUCUUGGAGGUCGAGGCCCGGCGCCUCUGUCUGCACCCGAGGCGACCGCCCAGCUUACCCCCGGCUCUUCUGAGCACAGGGAAGCCUCCCAGCAAAGCCUGAAACCCUCUAAGUUUAGCUGCAGGCUUCGAACCCCGACCGUCCCCGCCCAGCCUUGGGCUGCUGAGGUGGGGAUGAACUGGGCGAAGGACACGUGGGAGUUAGGAAGAAACAAACAAGCAGGGAAGUGACCGAGAGACGAGAAUGAAUACAGGAAUGUCUGUCUGCCUGUCUGUGCAUACUCUGUGAAGCAAUACACCAGCAUUACAUGCUGACCCAAGGAUAGCCAGUACGCCUUCUGCAAGAGGAAAGUUUGUGUUUCAAAAUCCAUCAAGUGAAAGAGAACAGAAAAAUUCAGAGGGCGUCAUUCACGGUAAGGGUAUUGUCUCAUUAAAUUUUUGCUUAUGUAUAUAUAUUUAUGGGUGGAGUCACCACACAAAAUAUGUUUCCUCCUUUGGAUUAUGGAACAAAAUGUUUGAAACCCUAGAUUUAGGCCCACAUCAUUUCUCACUUGGACUGCUUAAAACCUGGAAUGUUUAUUCUUGGCACAAUAAGAAGCCAAAUACUUUACAAUGGCCUAACGACCCAGCAUAGUCUUAUGCCUCCUUCCUCUCCGACCACAUCUUCAUCUCUCAUCCUCCUCACUCAUGCUGCAGUCACACUACCUGCUUUUCACUGAACACACCAGUCUCCCCACCGCCAGGACACUGUACUUGCUAUUUCCUCUGCAUAGAUUGUUCUUCACAAUAUUUGCAGAUGCCUUCUGCCUGGUCUUAGCACGAGUGACAUCUCCACAAAGUAACCUGUUGAAAACGUCCCCAAUUUCCAUUUUCUUCUAUUUAUUUCAUGUUACUUAUUAUUAUAUGGAAUUAUGUUUAUUUCUUUUUUCAGACAUCUUUACUCCCCAUCUCUCUUUGCUACAGUAUUUAAGUUCUAAGAGAGCAAAGUCUUCCUUGUCUGCCUCCUUCACUGAUAAAUAUUCAGAGCCUAAAAUAAAGCCUGGUAAAUAGUGCAUACUGAAUAAAUAUUUACUUUUUAUUAUU
Molecule: long non-coding RNA, 1183 nt
Organism: Macaca mulatta (Rhesus monkey)
Lineage: Eukaryota; Metazoa; Chordata; Mammalia; Primates; Cercopithecidae
Source: RefSeq, a predicted model, not a curated record